GGGAUAACCUUGCGAAAGUAAGACUAAUACCCAAUGAUAUCUCUAGAAGGCAUCUGAAAGAGAUUAAAGAUUUAUCGGUGAUGGAUGGGGAUGCGUCUGAUUAGCUUGUUGGCGGGGUAACGGCCCACCAAGGCAACGAUCAGUAGGGGUUCUGAGAGGAAGGUCCCCCACAUUGGAACUGAGACACGGUCCAAACUCCUACGGGAGGCAGCAGUGAGGAAUAUUGGUCAAUGGACGAGAGUCUGAACCAGCCAAGUAGCGUGCAGGAAGACGGCCCUAUGGGUUGUAAACUGCUUUUAUAAGGGAAUAAAGUGAGUCUCGUGAGACUUUUUGCAUGUACCUUAUGAAUAAGGACCGGCUAAUUCCGUGCCAGCAGCCGCGGUAAUACGGAAGGUCCGGGCGUUAUCCGGAUUUAUUGGGUUUAAAGGGAGCGUAGGCCGGAGAUUAAGCGUGUUGUGAAAUGUAGAUGCUCAACAUCUGAACUGCAGCGCGAACUGGUUUCCUUGAGUACGCACAAAGUGGGCGGAAUUCGUGGUGUAGCGGUGAAAUGCUUAGAUAUCACGAAGAACUCCGAUUGCGAAGGCAGCUCACUGGAGCGCAACUGACGCUGAAGCUCGAAAGUGCGGGUAUCGAACAGGAUUAGAUACCCUGGUAGUCCGCACGGUAAACGAUGGAUGCCCGCUGUUGGUCUGAAUAGGUCAGCGGCCAAG
This 710-nucleotide ribosomal RNA is filed under the name uncultured bacterium. RNAcentral describes it as "bacterial SSU rRNA". It matches the Rfam family "Bacterial small subunit ribosomal RNA", at positions 140 to 851 of the family's 1533-position model. The record is from RNAcentral.